AGACCAACAGGGAUUGCCCUAGUAACGGCGAGUGAAGCGGCAACAGCUCAAAUUUGAAAUCUGGCUCUAGGGCCCGAGUUGUAAUUUGCAGAGGAUGAUUUUGGCGCGGUGCCUUCCGAGUUCCCUGGAACGGGACGCCUUAGAGGGUGAGAGCCCCGUACGGUUGGACACCAAGCCUCUGUAAAUCUCCUUCGACGAGUCGAGUAGUUUGGGAAUGCUGCUCUAAAUGGGAGGUAAAUUUCUUCUAAAGCUAAAUACCGGCCAGAGACCGAUAGCGCACAAGUAGAGUGAUCGAAAGAUGAAAAGCACUUUGAAAAGAGGGUUAAAUAGCACGUGAAAUUGUUGAAAGGGAAGCAUUUACUACCAGACCUUCUCCCUGCGGAUCAUGCGGUGUUUUCACCGCUGCACUUCGCUUGGUUUAGGCUAGCAUCGGUUUUCGUAGGGGGAUAAAAGCAUUAGGAACGUAGCUCCCUCGGGAGUGUUAUAGCCUUUUGCAUAAUACCCUUAUGGGGACCGAGGACCGCGCUUUUGCAAGGAUGCUGGCAUAAUGGUAGUCAAUGACCCGUCUUGAAACACGGACCAAGGAGUCGAACAUUUGUGCGAGUGUUUGGGUGUUAAACCCUCACGCGUAAUGAAAGUGAACGUAGGUGAGAGCCCUUACGGGUGCAUCAUCGACCGAUCUUGAUGUCUUCGGAUGGAUUUGAGUAAGAGCAUAACUGUUCGGACCCGAAAGAUGGUGAACUAUGCGUGGAUAGGGUGAAGCCAGAGGAAACUCUGGUGGAGGCUCGCAGCGGUUCUGACGUGCAAAUCGAUCGUCAAAUCUGCGCAUGGGGGCGAAAGACUUAUCGAACCAUUAAACCAGCGGUAAAAAUAUUUACUAGGUGGUUAAGAGGCCCUCUGUAAAGAGAAAAAGGCCUAGGUGACCUACCCUUGGAAGAUGCUACCCUGCACUUCCGGGUGGGCUAUCGACAUCGCUAAAUUGCGGAACAUCCUACUGUAAGGCUAGGGGUUACCGCCGCCUGCCUGAAAA
Molecule: ribosomal RNA, 1030 nt
Filed under: Muscodor thailandicus
Lineage: Eukaryota; Fungi; Ascomycota; Sordariomycetes; Xylariales
Description: Induratia thailandica partial large subunit ribosomal RNA
Rfam family: Eukaryotic large subunit ribosomal RNA
Source: RNAcentral